This 468-nucleotide ribosomal RNA is filed under the name uncultured bacterium. RNAcentral's name for it is "partial 16S ribosomal RNA". It matches the Rfam family "Bacterial small subunit ribosomal RNA", at positions 28 to 507 of the family's 1533-position model. The record is from RNAcentral.
GACGAACGCUGGCGGCGUGCUUAACACAUGCAAGUCGAACGGAAAGGCCCUGCUUUUGUGGGGUGCCCGAGUGGCGAACGGGUGAGUAACACGUGAGUAACCUGCCCUUGACUUUGGGAUAACUUCAGGAAACUGGGGAUAAUACCGGAUAGGAGCCCCUGCUGCAUGGUGGGGGUUGGAAAGUUUCGGCGGUUGGGGAUGGACUCGCGGCUUAUCAGCUUGUUGGUGGGGUAGUGGCUUACCAAGGCUUUGACGGGUAGCCGGCCUGAGAGGGUGACCGGCCACAUUGGGACUGAGAUACGGCCCAGACUCCUACGGGAGGCAGCAGUGGGGAAUAUUGCACAAUGGGCGGAAGCCUGAUGCAGCAACGCCGCGUGCGGGAUGACGGCCUUCGGGUUGUAAACCGCUUUCGCCUGUGACGAAGCGUGAGUGACGGUAAUGGGUGAAGAAGCACCGGCUAACUACGUG